CUCGCGAGACUUUUGCACCGUGAAUGCGGGCUGCAGGUGAAGCCGGAGGUGGAGAUGCAGGAGCAGGACCCCCGAGGUCUCCAGGCAGGAGCGGAGGGGGCAGGACAGGCCUGGUGACAAGCACGCCAGGACCAGGGGCAUCCCCGAGGGCAGGGAAAGCAGCAGCCCUGGAGGAGCCGGGGCAGGAGGCAGCGCGACGGCGCAGGAGACGUGCUCACACACGGCGCCGCCCCGCGGGGCAC
Long non-coding RNA from Alligator sinensis (Chinese alligator), 242 nucleotides. RefSeq lists it as uncharacterized. The record is from RefSeq and is a predicted model, not a curated record. The transcript has 3 exons. NCBI's taxonomy places the organism in Eukaryota, Metazoa, Chordata, Crocodylia, Alligatoridae.